UGGAGCAUGUAAAGGGGUCACCAUGGAGAGACGGACUCUGUGUGACCUUGGGGACACGCUCUUCCUUAGAUAGAAGGUUUGGAGAACAAUGCAGUGAUCUUCCCUUCUCUCUGAGGUGUACGUUCCAGGACUCCCACAGAUGCCAGAAACCGAGGGAAGUACUGG
Molecule: long non-coding RNA, 165 nt
Filed under: Cavia porcellus (domestic guinea pig)
Lineage: Eukaryota; Metazoa; Chordata; Mammalia; Rodentia; Caviidae
Description: lncRNA (ENSCPOG00000036085.1)
Source: RNAcentral